RNAcentral lists this ribosomal RNA (253 nucleotides) under uncultured bacterium. Its description in RNAcentral is "partial 16S ribosomal RNA". It matches the Rfam family "Bacterial small subunit ribosomal RNA", at positions 524 to 776 of the family's 1533-position model. The record is from RNAcentral.
UACGUAGGUGGCAAGCGUUAUCCGGAUUUAUUGGGCGUAAAGAGAACGCAGGCGGUCUUCUAAGUCUGAUGUGAAAGCCUUCGGCUUAACCGGAGUAGUGCAUUGGAAACUGGGAGACUUGAGUGCAGAAGAGGAGAGUGGAACUCCAUGUGUAGCGGUGAAAUGCGUAGAUAUAUGGAAGAACACCAGUGGCGAAAGCGGCUCUCUGGUCUGUAACUGACGCUGAGGCUCGAAAGCGUGGGUAUCGAACAGG